GAUGAACGCAGGCGGCGUGCUUAACACAUGCAAGUCGAACGGUGAAGCAGGAGCUUGCUCUUGUGGAUCAGUGGCGAACGGGUGAGUAACACGUGAGCAACCCGCCCCUGACUCUGGGAUAAGCGCUGGAAACGGCGUCUAAUACUGGAUAUGUGAUGUGACCGCAUGGUCUGCAUCUGGAAAGAAUUUCGGUUGGGGAUGGGCUCGCGGCCUAUCAGCUUGUUGGUGAGGUAAUGGCUCACCAAGGCGUCGACGGGUAGCCGGCCUGAGAGGGUGACCGGCCACACUGGGAUUGAGACACGGCCCAGACUCCUACGGGAGGCAGCAGUGGGGAAUAUUGCACAAUGGGCGGAAGCCUGAUGCAGCAACGCCGCGUGAGGGAUGUCGGCCUUCGGGUUGUAAACCUCUUUCAGCAUCGACGAAGCGAAAGUGACGGUAGGUGCAGAAGAAGGACCGGCCAACUACGUGCCAGCCGCCGCGGUAA
RNAcentral lists this ribosomal RNA (484 nucleotides) under uncultured bacterium. Its description in RNAcentral is "partial 16S ribosomal RNA". It matches the Rfam family "Bacterial small subunit ribosomal RNA", at positions 28 to 523 of the family's 1533-position model. The record is from RNAcentral.